Molecule: long non-coding RNA, 3538 nt
Organism: Vicia villosa (hairy vetch)
Lineage: Eukaryota; Viridiplantae; Streptophyta; Magnoliopsida; Fabales; Fabaceae
Exons: 11
Source: RefSeq, a predicted model, not a curated record
AAACCCAGUUUUCAACAAAGUAUGGUUCAUCGCAUUUCACCAAAAACGGAAUCAAAGAACAAAGCCGCAUCAGAAUUUUCAAUAAAUUUUUGAAGUCUUCUCAAAGAGAAUCCAAACCCGGUUUCAUCACAUUUCACCAAAACCACCGCGCAGUGACGACAACGAAGCCGGUGGCCUGUUGGCGCCUUUUCCAGCUGUUGGCGCUUCGUUCUUGCUAUAUUUGGCAUCGACAAGGGCGGCGGAGGAGUAGAAGGCAACGCCGGUGGAGGUAACAGUUGUGAAACCGGAGGAGGUGAAGAAGAUUGAGGAGGAAGUGAUUACUUCGAGGAUUUACGAUGCGACGCCAUUGGUGAACCGUUGGCGAUUGGGAAAGAGAAAGGGAAAAUGUGGGAGAAGUUGAUGAAUGCUAGGGUUGUUUAAGCUGAACAGGAUCCGGUUCGAGAUGAUAAGGAUUUGGAGCUUAAGAUUGUCAAGAAUUUGCAUAAGCGUUGUGUUGAGAUUGAUAAGCGUUUAUCUUUGGCUGUUGAAGCUUUUCCCUCUGAUCUUCAGGAACCACUCAAUCAGUAUAUUGAUAAAAUGGAAUUUGUCUUGUUACUUGUGGUACUCCACUGUAGGUGUGUUCAAAUUUUCAUUCAUAGUGAUGUAUAUCGUUAAGAAAAAGCUAGUGUAUGAAAUAUAAAUAGAGCUCGCAUUUGAUGUUUUACUAAAGUAUUGGUUUUUGAUAUAGUUGUUUGUUCUUAGUAGAUCUUUGUAAUUAAUUCCACUAAGUAGGAUCAAGCUCAGUUCUUGUAUCUCUAUGUCAAGUUCCACAAAGAUGAUGUUUAUAAAUUGACAAUUUUCUCAUCAACGGAUAUUAAGCACUGUCCAAGCAGAAGGAGUUAGUGGGCUAACAAAGGCUGAACGUAAUUUAUAUGCACCUCCUGCUGGUUCAGGCUUCAUAUCUAUCUACACGGGUUAGAGUAGUUGACGAGUAUACUAUGUCACAUACCCUGUAGAGAAAUUGCUUUGACCGGGUUGAGAUUGCUCGGGUUAUGAAUGUUGCCAGACAGCGGCGGGAUGCCCUCCCACAGGUUUUGUAUGGUUUAUUCUUUCAUUAAAGAAGAGAUACUACAAGUAUCAAUUUGGACAGUAUGCAUGGACACAUAUGAUACUUAUCAUUGUGUUUACACAGUCGGCAUUCAUGGUAGCUAAUAUAUUUCAAGGAAUUUUCUAGUAAUGUUACUUCUGAUACAUGCUAAUUUAUUCUUUUAGUGUUAACUUUGUUCUUUCUUCAUGUUUUCAUAAAAUGUUACCUCUGUAUUGAAGGUUUAUUUUCCCUGCACUUCUUAUUGCUAUGAAUGAUGCUGCUGCAUAUUUCUUUGGUUUCUUUUUCGGGAAAACACCUCUAAUCAAGUUAUCUCCAAAGAAAACAUUGGAAGGUUUUAUUGGAGUGUCUGUUGCGAAUAUGAUUGCUGCAUUUACAAUAAGAAUUGACUAGUAAAGCAAACUAUUUGAUAGGAAAUUGCAAUAACAAACUUAGAAGUAAUUGAUUUAUCAUUAUUUGUGCAGUUUGCCAACUUUUUGGGUCGGUUUCAGUGGCUAACAUGUCCGAGGAAGGAUUUAUCAACUGGUUGGCUUGAAUGUGACCCUGAUCCAAUUUUUAAGCCAGAUUACAUUCCAAUGCCAGGACUUGUUCCUCAUGGGGUUAUAAUAGAACUACCUUAUGCUUUUCUCCAAGCUAUAUCACAUGGUGUAAUAGUUUAUGCCAUGAUUGGAUUUGACUGGACUCUAGAGAAAUUCUUUUGGUACAUAUUUUUCAUGUACUUCACAUUGUGCUACUUCACCUUCUAUUGAAUGAUGGCUGUAGCAAUCACCAUGUCGUGUCAAUCGAGGCUUCUGCAUUUUACGCAAUUUGGAAUCUUUUCAGGAUUCUUCGUUCCACGACCUAUGAUUCCGGUGUGGUGGAGAUGGUACUAUUGGGCAUGUCAUGUGGCUUGGACAAUAUAUGGAUUGAUAGCAUCGCAAUUUGGAGAUAUAAACAUCAUGAUGGAAUCAGAAAAUGAAACAAUUGAAGAAUUCAUAAGAGGUUACUUUGGUAUCAAGCAUGACAUGAUAGGUGUUUGUGCAGUUGUUGUUGUUGGGACUGGAGUGUUGUUUGCAUGUAUUUUUGCUGUCUCAAUCAAGCUCUUCAACUUCAUCGUUUCUCUUUUCUCUGAUGUCUUCAUUUUUCUGCUUUGCUCCCUCGCCAUUCUCGGUUUUCUCUUCCGUCAAAUGACCAUUCAGCUCAGAAUCUGGAAUGUGAGCGGUGAACAAGCUUCGAAGCUGAGGGAGUUGGAAAUACAGUAUGAAGAUGAGAAUCGUAGGGUUCUUGCUUUGUAUUCUAAAGAGGUUUUGAUGAAUAAAGAUGAAGUUGCGGAGGAUGACAAUGAUGGUGACAGGGAGCACGUAGUGGAAGAAAUGCAAAUGCUUGUGUUGGAGAAAAGACGGUAUAGUCCAGUGUAGUCGGAAAGGGAUAUGUCUAUUGAAUUUAUGAGCAUCAAUUCCAGCAUUAGAUCCUCCCAAGAACCAUUAUAUCCUCAAAGAGUCUCUCCCGGAGUCCUCAAUCCCCGACAGUCUUCAAAAUAUCGGACAACCCUAGUUUAUUAAAUCUCAGCCUCUGAAACUCAAUUUUCUUUAGAUGAGAGUUCACUUUGUUCUUCAGAUUCAAAGGCUGAAAUAAGGAAAAAGACAGAAAUAUAGCAUUGUUGGAACCUCAACAAAUCCAAACCCAUCCCUGAGGUACAUUAAGUUUGAUACAUUCACUCUUGCAGUGGAACGCGAGCUUCCAGUCAAACGGCUUAUUAGUCAAGAGCUAUUGAUCAAUAGCGGACUUGCAGAGGUGGACAUCUUUAGCUUUCCUUCAAAUAUUAGGUUUGCAAGUGGAUAAUGGUAGUUUAUAUAUGUUAAUCUUCAUUUCAUCUGCUCGUAUUAUCUAUCAUUCAUUAGUCAAUUAACGGUGAUAUUCAACAGUUACUUCGACACUCCUUAAUCCUUGCCAAAAUUUGAUAUGAUUGCAAUACCUGAUUUUGCUGCUAGAGCCAUGGAGAAUUAUGGUUUGGUUACUACCCAGGAAAAUUCUUUACUCUAUGAUGAUCAGCAUUUUGCUGCUGCUAACAAACAGUGGGUGGUUUUCUUUUCAAAAAAUUGUUUUUGUCUAUGUGGCUCAAGAUCCCCAAUCUCAAAUUCAAAUCCAGUGUUUUCUAUUAAUAUUCGGAGGAUAUAAAAUAUUUCUUACAUUCUUUAGUUGCUUAGGUUGAAAUUACUAUAGCUCAUGAACUAGCACAUCAAUGGUUUGGCCAUCUUGUUACAAUGAAGUGGUGAACCAAUUAUGGAUGAAUGAUGGUUUUGCAACACAAUUUUCUGCAUAUACAGAAGCUAAAGCUUGCACUGGAAAAUGUCAAAAGAGAGUAUGAAAACUUGGUAGCCACUAGAAGAUACUACAUAUUGAAUUAUAAUGUCAAUUAUAACAAGGAUGUUAAAAUAGAGAAAAUAAGGGGAGGAGCUUUUAUGGUGAAGGUCA